GAUGAAGAACGUAGCGAAAUGCGAUACGUAAUGUGAAUUGCAGAAUUCAGUGAAUCAUCGAAUCUUUGAACCCAUAUUGCGCUCUCUGGUAUUCCGGAGAGCAUGCUUGUUUGAGUAUCAGUAAACACCUCAACUUCCAUAUCUUUUUUGAAAUGGGAGUUGGACUUGAGUGAUCCCAACGCUUUUCCUCACCGAAAAGUGGCGGGUUACUUGAAAUGCAGGUGCAGCUGGACUUUUCUCUGAGCUAUAAGCAUAUCUAUUUAGUCUGCCUAAAAAACAGAUUAUUACCUUUGCUGCAGCUAACAUAAAGGAGAUUAGUUCUUGUGCUGACUGAUGCAGGAUUCACAAAGACAGCUUCGGCCGACUUUGUAAACUCGAUCUCAAAUCAAGUAAGACUACCCGCUGAACUUAAGCAUAUCAAUAAGCGGAGG
This 431-nucleotide unclassified non-coding RNA is filed under the name soil metagenome. RNAcentral's name for it is "partial contains 5.8S ribosomal RNA, internal transcribed spacer 2, and large subunit ribosomal RNA". The stretch from base 1 to 120 matches the Rfam family "5.8S ribosomal RNA", at positions 35 to 154 of the family's 154-position model. The record is from RNAcentral.